This 261-nucleotide ribosomal RNA is filed under the name uncultured bacterium. RNAcentral describes it as "partial 16S ribosomal RNA". It matches the Rfam family "Bacterial small subunit ribosomal RNA", at positions 513 to 773 of the family's 1533-position model. The record is from RNAcentral.
AGCCGCGGUAAUACGGAGGGCGCGAGCGUUACCCGGAUUUACUGGGCGUAAAGGGCGUGUAGGCGGCCUGGGGCGUCCCAUGUGAAAGGCCACGGCUCAACCGUGGAGGAGCGUGGGAUACGCUCAGGCUAGAGGGUGGGAGAGGGUGGUGGAAUUCCCGGAGUAGCGGUGAAAUGCGCAGAUACCGGGAGGAACGCCGAUGGCGAAGGCAGCCACCUGGUCCACUUCUGACGCUGAGGCGCGAAAGCGUGGGGAGCAAAC